Salmo salar (Atlantic salmon) is the source of this 1486-nucleotide non-coding RNA. Lineage: Eukaryota; Metazoa; Chordata; Actinopteri; Salmoniformes; Salmonidae. The record is from RefSeq and is a predicted model, not a curated record.
GCCAUUGCUCUCAUCAGGCAGAGAUUCGCAGUGGGAGAGGGGAGGGGAAGACCACAAUGCCUAAUGGAAUGAGCACUUCUUUGGAUAUUACAAAUUGACCUUAUUACCUGCGAUGAGCCUUACGAUGCUAUGCCAGAACAACCUGAGAGACACAUGGAGAAAUGCAUGGCUUUGUAUCGAGGGAAACACAAUCCUGCGGUUUGAAGAGACAACAAAGGGGAGUCCCCCAGAAUUCCCUGCGUCAUCUGCUGGACCUGCCUGAGAAAGAAUGCAGCAAGGUCCCACUCCCCUCAUUGUUUAUUCAGAGGCACACCACCCUCCCAGGAGUCAUAAAGGGGAGGCAGUCCUUUGUGAGGGGGAGCAGAGCAGAUUUACUGCCAGGGGUUUCUCCACAAAGGGCUGUGCCACUGUCACAACAGGAGUAGAUCAGGAGCUCUCCCUUUCACAGUGUGAUUUAACACCACGCUUCACACAGCUACUGGUGCCUCUCUGGCCGUAGACUUUUCACCGGGGCUUUUAGUGUCACACACACUCACUCACCAGACGUUCACACACUUUCAACGAAAAGCAGUAAGCGCUCUGCGGCUCAAUUUUUAAUAGCUGUGACUGAUGUUUGUGUUUUUCCAACCGCAUUUCCUAACAUGUAUAACCUUGAUAACAAGCUUCAGAGUUGAAUGUUUUUGUUUACAUAUUUUGUAUUAUCUCAGAAAUCGAUUGAUCUGAAGUGAUGCAGGGAGAACUGUGCAGCGGGGUUACAAUGGUAUGUGAGUCUGUGCUCUCUGGAGUUUCAUGGUGAAUUUGUCUCAGGUGACACUUUAUCUCGCCUGUUGGAGAUGUCAGACUGAAUUAAGAUGCAUAUGCAAACAUAAGGAUUAUAAAUCUGUCCAAGUGAUGUUUUUAUGAGCCAAAAGAACCACCUGAUAUGCAAGUAGCCCAAAUAUCUCCCCAAACUCAGAUGUAACAAAAUCCUGUGAGAAAUCAUUAUGAUGCGAUCAUGUGACCAUUUAUUAGAGCUACACCAAAGAAUCAAACUUAAAAUGGAUGUCAUCAAUAAGAAUGCAUUUAAAUCCCUUUGAACCACACUACACUCCCACUUCCUCAUAUUGAGACUUGAAGACACAGAAUGACAAGAGGCUAAGUGUGUAAUAAAUGAGGUGAACAGAUGGCGUGGUAAUGAAUGAGGAGUUCUGUACUCCUUAGUGGUCUAAUGGUGCAUCUGUCAUUGCAUUGCAUUGCAGUGACUAGUCCAGGAUUGUUAGAUGGGGUGUAACGGCAGUUGUCUAAAUGCCUUUAUGAGUGCCAUGCCUGCUGUGCUCUUUGGGCUCUGACCGAUAACUUCUGGGUUUGGUUUCUUCAGCCAGUCAGUUUUGAUUUCACCACUGUGUAACUUCAGAAGCCAGCCCUCCAAUCUCAAAAGCAGCUUGGGUUCCAAACAGCACUGGUAUUAAGACACCUUAACAAAGCAAUAAAGUCUGGUGGCAAAACA